AAGAAAGCGUCAAAGCUCACUAUUACUUAAUAUCACCAAUCUCUUAAACCCCCAUAAACCCUCUACCCGUAUUGAACGACCCCAUAAAUUAUGGAAGACACCCUGUUUGAACUAGUAAUAAGAAUCCGAAAUUCUCCCAGAUGUAAUCAUAAGCCGACUAUCGGACAUCCCAACGGCACUUAAAGUAAAUGAACUUGUUGCAAUAACUAUUACAAAAAACUUGCAAUAAUAAACGUUAACCUAACACAAGAACAUCCAAGGAAAGAUUAAAAAAGAGAGAAGGAAUUCGGCAAACCUCUAACCCCGCCUGUUUACCAAAAACAUCGCCUCUUGAUAAAUUAUAAGAGGUCCAGCCUGCCCAAUGAUCAAUUAAAUGGCCGCGGUACCCUAACCGUGCAAAGGUAGCAUAAUAAUUUGUCCCUUAAUUGGGGACUAGUAUGAACGGCACCACGAGGGUUAAACUGUCUCCUCUCUUUAAUCAAUGAAACUGACCUCCCCGUGAAAAGGCGGGGAUUUAAAUACAAGACGAGAAGACCCCAUGGAGCUUUAGACCUAAAGCACAUUUAAACCACAACUUCACCAAAUACCAAAACCCCUGACUCCAAGUCUUAGGUUGGGGCGACCAUGGAGUAUAACCCAACCUCCAUUUUGAACGGAUAUUAUCCUAAUCUAAGAGCCACAACUCCAAGAAUCAAAAAACUGACACCCACUGACCCAAAAUUUGACCAUCGAACCAAGUUACCCUGGGGAUAACAGCGCCAUCCACCUCAAGAGCCCAUAUCGACAGGUGGGUUUACGACCUCGAUGUUGGAUCAGGGUAUCCAUGUGGUGCAGCCGCUACAUAAGGUUCGUUUGU
RNAcentral lists this ribosomal RNA (856 nucleotides) under Platymantis paengi (Panay limestone frog). RNAcentral's name for it is "partial 16S ribosomal RNA". It matches the Rfam family "Bacterial large subunit ribosomal RNA", at positions 1585 to 2580 of the family's 2925-position model. Lineage: Eukaryota; Metazoa; Chordata; Amphibia; Anura; Ceratobatrachidae. The record is from RNAcentral.